This 497-nucleotide ribosomal RNA is filed under the name uncultured bacterium. Its description in RNAcentral is "partial 16S ribosomal RNA". It matches the Rfam family "Bacterial small subunit ribosomal RNA", at positions 28 to 507 of the family's 1533-position model. The record is from RNAcentral.
GAUGAACGCUGGCGGCGUGCCUAAUACAUGCAAGUCGAGCGAACAGAUGAGGAGCUUGCUCCUCUGACGUUAGCGGCGGACGGGUGAGUAACACGUGGAUAACCUACCUAUAAGACUGGGAUAACUUCGGGAAACCGGAGCUAAUACCGGAUAAUAUAUUGAACCGCAUGGUUCAAUAGUGAAAGACGGUUUUGCUGUCACUUAUAGAUGGAUCCGCGCCGCAUUAGCUAGUUGGUAAGGUAACGGCUUACCAAGGCAACGAUGCGUAGCCGACCUGAGAGGGUGAUCAGCCACACUGGAACUGAGACACGGUCCAGACUCCUACGGGAGGCAGCAGUGGGGAAUCUUCCGCAAUGGGCGAAAGCCUGACGGAGCAACGCCGCGUGAGUGAUGAAGGUCUUCGGAUCGUAAAACUCUGUUAUUAGGGAAGAACAAAUGUGUAAGUAACUAUGCACGUCUUGACGGUACCUAAUCAAAAAGCCACGGCUAACUCCGUG